UGGCCAAUACUGGUGAAAUUAAGCACUUUCAAUCCAUUUAUUGUGGCACUAUACUGCGGGGAAAGCAAGCCUGAGCCCCUUGAAGAGUAUCUCCAUGACUUUUUGAAGGAGUUAAAGAAUCUCACACAGAAUGGCCUGGUGAUUCAUGAGAAAAAGUUUGCAGUAAAUAUUCGUACCUUUCUUUGUGAUGCACCGGCUAGAGCAUAUUUAAAAUGCAUUAAAGGUCAUACUGCAUAUGACAGUUGUGAGAGGUGUGAAGUGAAAGGCCAGUAUGUUGAAAGAAGAGUCGUCUUCAAUCAGCUGACAUCCACCUUGCGCACAGAUGAAGCAUUUAGUCAGAUACAGUAUUCUCACCAUCAAAAUGGUUGUAGCCCUUUAAUAGCUGCUGGGAUUCCCUGUGUCAGUGGCUUUGUGUUAGACUAUAUGCAUAUGAUUUGCUUGGGUGUUGUUAGGCGGCUGUUGGUUUAUCUGACUAGAGGCCCAAAACUGUGUAGGCUCUCUGUGAGACAGAAAAUUGAAAUUUCACAAAAACUGAACAUGCUACGAGGCCAGAUGCCCAGCGAGUUCGCACGACAGCCCCGUGGCCUUCAGGAGUUGGACAGGUGGAAAGCAACAGAGUUCCGUCAGUUUCUUCUUUACACAGGACCUAUAGUACUCAAAAAUACUGUCUCCUCACAGCUGUAUGCUCAUUUUGUGACAUUGACCGUGGCAGUAUCCAUCAUGCUGGACUCAGAUGACCGGACAAGAGCUGCCUAUUUGGAGUAUGCCACUGAACUGAUGAGGCACUUUGUGUCUAGCUGCCCUGCACUCUAUGGAAAAACAUUUACUGUGUACAAUGUGCAUGCCCUGUUACACAUCCACGAAGAUGUCUCUCAUUUCAGGUGCUCUUUAAAUGACAUAUGUUGCUUUCCAUUUGAGAAUUAUUUGCAGCAGAUCAAAAGAUUGGUCAGGACUGGCCAAAAUCCAUUAGCGCAGGUGUCCAAACGCCUGGUCGAAAUCGAACAUGCCCAAGGAAAUUCCAGUGCACAGCCUGAGGUGAAGCCCCAAAUGUAUAUUUCAACAAAAAGGAGAGACAGCUGUUUCCUUCUGGAAGAUGAGAGGUUUGCUUUUGUUCAAGAGAGGAGGGGAGAUGGGACGGUUGUUUGCGAUGUGAUAAAACUGAGACACACUGUCGACCUGUUUGACAAACCAUGUCUGUCAAAGCUAUUGAACAUUGCGUAUAUAGGGAAUGGCCGUAGAUUACAAAGACAAGAAAUGAAGGAAAAAGACCUUGCAAGAAAAGUAGCCUGUCUAGCUUUCAACAAUGGCUCUGUCAUGAUUCCUCUGCGGCAUGGUAUUGAACAUUCAUGGUGACAAUUGGCCAGUCAAAAAGUUAUGCUUUUUGUCAGAGCCGUUUGGAAUGAAAAUGGGAAAGAAAUGGAGGGGACCAUCCCUGAUGCCUGGGUUAAUGUAGCUGAGAAAACCCUUCGGUGGCCAAAGAAGAGAGCAAAGUAUUGUUUUGAGAACCAUGUGGCCCCUAAGGAGGACUGGGAAACUUUCCCAUUAUUGAAAGUGAAAUUUACUGCAGAAAGUCUCCAUGAGUGUGAGGAGUAUGAUCAAACCAGCCAUGCUGAACAAUGUGAAGAUGAAGACGAAGAGGUUGUUGUGCAAAAGAGGAAGAAAAAAAUGAA
Non-coding RNA from Paramisgurnus dabryanus, 1670 nucleotides. NCBI's taxonomy places the organism in Eukaryota, Metazoa, Chordata, Actinopteri, Cypriniformes, Cobitidae. The record is from RefSeq and is a predicted model, not a curated record.